This 402-nucleotide unclassified non-coding RNA is filed under the name soil metagenome. RNAcentral describes it as "partial contains 5.8S ribosomal RNA, internal transcribed spacer 2, and large subunit ribosomal RNA". The stretch from base 1 to 120 matches the Rfam family "5.8S ribosomal RNA", at positions 35 to 154 of the family's 154-position model. The record is from RNAcentral.
GAUGAAGAACGUAGCGAAAUGCGAUAAGUAAUGUGAAUUGCAGAAUUCAGUGAAUCAUCGAAUCUUUGAACGCACCUUGCGCCCUUUGGACUUCUGAAGGGCAUGCCUGUUUGAGUAUCAUGAACACCUCAACUCCUUAUGGUCUUCCAUGAUGAGCUUGGACUUUGGGGGUUUUGCUGGCCUACAGUCAGCUCCUCUAAAAUAAAUCAGCUUACCGGUGUUUGGUGGGUAUCAUGGGUGUGAUAACUAUCUACGCUCGUGGUUUUCCACCAGGUAACCUUCAGCAGUGGAGGUUCACUGGAGCUCAUAGAUGUCUCUCCCAGCGAGGACAGCCCUUUGAAUGUUUGAUCUCAAAUCAGGUAGGACUACCCGCUGAACUUAAGCAUAUCAAUAAGCGGAGGA